RNAcentral lists this ribosomal RNA (497 nucleotides) under uncultured bacterium. Its description in RNAcentral is "partial 16S ribosomal RNA". It matches the Rfam family "Bacterial small subunit ribosomal RNA", at positions 28 to 507 of the family's 1533-position model. The record is from RNAcentral.
GAUGAACGCUGGCGGCGUGCCUAAUACAUGCAAGUCGAGCGAACAGACGAGGAGCUUGCUCCUCUGACGUUAGCGGCGGACGGGUGAGUAACACGUGGAUAACCUACCUAUAAGACUGGGAUAACUUCGGGAAACCGGAGCUAAUACCGGAUAAUAUAUUGAACCGCAUGGUUCAAUAGUGAAAGACGGUUUUGCUGUCACUUAUAGAUGGAUCCGCGCCGCAUCAGCUAGUUGGUAAGGUAACGGCUUACCGAGGCAACGAUGCGUAGCCGACCUGAGAGGGUGAUCGGCCACACUGGAACUGAGACACGGUCCAGACUCCUACGGGAGGCAGCAGUAGGGAAUCUUCCGCAAUGGGCGAAAGCCUGACGGAGCAACGCCGCGUGAGUGAUGAAGGUCUUCGGAUCGUAAAACUCUGUUAUUAGGGAAGAACAAAUGUGUAAGUAACUAUGCACGUCUUGACGGUACCUAAUCAGAAAGCCACGGCUAACUACGUG